RNAcentral lists this long non-coding RNA (1961 nucleotides) under Prunus persica (peach). RNAcentral's name for it is "long non-coding RNA (PPER_LNC003894)". Lineage: Eukaryota; Viridiplantae; Streptophyta; Magnoliopsida; Rosales; Rosaceae. The record is from RNAcentral.
AGAGGCCCGAUUUGGGUCAUGGGUCUGGGUAUGGUCGGAAGCCGGGGUAUGAACAGCCCGGUUCGGAAUACGGUUCUGGGUAUCGACGGAGACCAGAGUCCGAUGAGCCCAGUUCCGAGUAUGGAUCUGGGUAUGGCCGAAAGCCAGUGUACGAGACGCCUGAACCCGAGUAUGGAUCUGGGUAUGGCCGAAAGCCCGAGUACGAGACGCCUGAACCCGAGUAUGGAUCUGGGUACGGUCGAAAGCCCGAGUACGAGACGCCUGAACCCGAGUAUGGAUCUGGGUACGGGCGAAAGCCCGAGUACGAGGCUCCCGAAUCUGAGCAUGGAUCUGGGUAUGGGCGAAAGCCUGAGUUCGAAGCACCGGGAGCUGGAUUCGGGUCUGGGUAUGAACGGAAGCCGAGUUAUGGCGAGGAGCCUGGUUAUGGAGAUGAGCCGCCGAGAAAGCCAAGCUAUGGGAGGCCCAGUUAUGAGACCUCAGAAAGUGAGGAGAGGACCAAGUAUGAGAGUUCGGGUUAUGGGAAGACUGAGUUUGAGAGACCUGGUUAUGGCGAAGAGCCGCGGAGGAGGCCUAGUUAUGAGAUCCCAGAAAGCGAGGAGAGGCCCAGCUAUGGGAGGCCUGGCUACGGAGAUGAGCCGCCGCCGCCAAGGCCCAGCUAUGGGAGACCUGGCUACGGAGAUGAGCCGCCACCGCCGAGGCCCAGCUAUGGGAGGCCCAGUUAUGAGGGGGAGGAAAGCGCGGAGUAUGAGAAGCCCAGUUAUGGGAGGAGCGAGGAGCAGGAGUACCGCAGGCCUGGUGGUUAUGAGAGGCGCGGUGAUGAUGAUGAAGCUGAGCGUCCUAAGUAUGGUUCUCGUGAGGAAGGCUAUAGUCGCAAGAAAUAUGUGAGAACCUCGAGCUUUAAAACUCCUUUUUUAAUUAUGUGUUUACAUUUAGGCGUCUCUAUGAUAUAAGUUUGAGUCAUGUGGAUUGUUGUUUGUUUGCUUGUCCAUCUUCAUGCAUGCUGUUCAUAAUGUACGUAUCCCCAUUUCCAGUGUGCCAUUAUAUACAUACAAAUCAUGGUAUUUAUAAUGAUCCUCUUUAGCUAAUUUAUCAAUUUGAAUGCAUCAUGGAAAUCAUCUUUUGCGUAUGCAUUGAGUAACUGUUUAUAUUUUUGGUUGGAAAACAUUUUGGAUUGAUCUAUUUGUAUUGGCACUCAUUUAGUAUAAGAUGAGAGCAGAGCUUAUGUGAUUAGUUCUAAACAAUUCAUGUGGUCCAUCUUCAUUACAGUAUCAUAAGUUACAAAUUACAUGCAUAAAAUUUUGGGGGUUGUAGUUGCAAUAAUGAGUCAAAAUAUAUCUUCCAGAGAUAAGACAUCCUGGUUUUGUUUUCUGGUUUUUAUCACCAUUUGAAUCCGAAAACAUUUCUAAUCCUUCUCAAGGCACAAACUUUUUUCUCAAGCUCGAAUCUCUGAAGGUGACUUUAGGUCUAUGAUGUUUCUAUAUCCUCCUCCUAAUGCUUUGGCUUGUGGAUCAUUUGGAUAAAUUCUUGGUGAAAACUGUUUACUCUGUUGUAAGUUCAAUGCUGUUGGUGAGGGGAUCUAAUAGAUGCAUGUAGUGUAGUAGCUGCGCCUCUGGUGAAGGUGGUUUAAAAGUGUAGAACACGUACCUGUUUUUCGAACCCUGUUGGUUAUUUUUAUUUUAUUUUAUCUGAUUCUCUCAAAUGAAUAUGGCAGGGAAAUGACAACUCGGAUGAGGAUGAUGAUGAUGAGGAGAAAAAACGACGUCACCACAAGCACCACCACCGCAAGAGCUAUGAUGAUGAAUGAUCAUAAUCCUUGCCCCUUAAGGGGAUGCAUGCCAUAGCCAUAGCCAUACUUUGAUGCUAAAUAAAGGGUUUGGGCGUGUAUUUCCUUUGAGUGGUAUUCUCUAUUACAUGUUUGAGUAUCCUAAGCUCUAAACUCAAAUCUCAGGUUUGAGUGUCUG